Cottoperca gobio is the source of this 634-nucleotide long non-coding RNA. RefSeq lists it as uncharacterized. The record is from RefSeq and is a predicted model, not a curated record. Lineage: Eukaryota; Metazoa; Chordata; Actinopteri; Perciformes; Bovichtidae. The transcript is spliced from 3 exons.
UCACUGGUCACACACACACGCACGCACACGCGCUUUAAAAAAGGUGUUGGGUUCAGGUACCGUUUGGAUGCUGAGAUGCAUGCUAAUUGUUGGAAACCAGACCAAGGAGUAAAAUGAAAAGGAAACAAAAAUAUGCCUCAUCCAGCGGACGCCGGACGUCUUGGAGGAUCUCGGGCCGAGCUCGUUGAAUCCCAGAGAUGAUGUGGCACAAGGGAACAAACUAUCCUCAAACAGCUUCCUACUCUGGAGGCUUUGGGCUUUCAGACACUCAUAGUCCUGACCCAGAAACUUUACAGCCUUGUGAUUCUGUCCCAGACCAUCAUCACGAUCCCACUGGCUCCUCAGCUUGGCGGCCAUGCCCGUCGCGUAAAUGUGCUCCUCCAUCCUGACUUGUGGAGGUAACUGUAGGUUGGGCUGUCACUCUCUGAUGGGUGUUUGUGUGUAUGGAACUACAAUAAGAUGUGUAAAAAAAAACAAUGAGGGAACAGUGUAGCUACAGUUUAGAUGUAAAGCAACACACAGCGCUAUCAUGAAUCAGAAUGAAACAUCAGUGGCCAUUAAGAAGAUAUGAAAUAUUGACCAGGCUGCCGCUUGGUUGUGGUACUUGUGGUUCUGCUAUAGCCGGAUGCUUACA